Molecule: ribosomal RNA, 505 nt
Filed under: uncultured bacterium
Lineage: Bacteria
Description: bacterial SSU rRNA
Rfam family: Bacterial small subunit ribosomal RNA
Source: RNAcentral
GAUGAACGCUAGCGGCAGGCUUAACACAUGCAAGUCGAGGGGCAUCACGGGUAGCAAUACCUGGUGGCGACCGGCGCAAGGGUGCGUAACGCGUGAGCAACAUGCCCUAUACAGGGGGAUAAUCCAGGGAAACUUGGUCUAAUAUCCCAUAGCAUUUAGAGGUGGCAUCACCAUUAAAUUAAAGCUUCGGUGGUAUAGGAUUGGCUCGCGUGACAUUAGCUAGAUGGUGGGGUAACGGCUCACCAUGGCUAUGAUGUCUAGGGGUUCUGAGAGGAAGACCCCCCAACUGGGACUGAGACACGGCCCAGACUCCUACGGGAGGCAGCAGUGAGGAAUAUUGGUCAAUGGGCGGAAGCCUGAACCAGCCAUGCCGCGUGCAGGAAGGAGGCCCUACGGGUUGUAAACUGCUUUUACCCGGGAAGAAACCGCCCCUGUGGGGGCGUUGCCGGUACCGGGGAAAAGGUCGGCUAACUCCGUGCCAGCAGCCGCGGUAAGCUGUAGUCGU